CCAGACUCCUACGGGAGGCAGCAGUGGGGAAUAUUGCACAAUGGGGGAAACCCUGAUGCAGCGACGCCGCGUGAGUGAAGAAGUAUUUCGGUAUGUAAAGCUCUAUCAGCAGGGAAGAAAAUGACAGUACCUGACCAAGAAGCCCCGGCUAACUACGUGCCAGCAGCCGCGGUAAUACGUAGGGGGCAAGCGUUAUCCGGAUUUACUGGGUGUAAAGGGAGCGUAGACGGUUAUGUAAGUCUGGAGUGAAAGCCCGGGGCCCAACCCCGGGACUGCUCUUGGAACUGCAUGGCUGGAGUACAGGAGGGGCAGGCGGAAUUCCUAGUGUAGCGGUGAAAUGCGUAGAUAUUAGGAGGAACACCGGUGGCGAAGGCGGCCUGCUGGACUGUGACUGACGUUGAGGCCCGAAGGCGUGGGGAGCAAACAGGAUUAGAUACCCGAGUAC
RNAcentral lists this ribosomal RNA (445 nucleotides) under uncultured bacterium. Its description in RNAcentral is "bacterial SSU rRNA". It matches the Rfam family "Bacterial small subunit ribosomal RNA", at positions 331 to 793 of the family's 1533-position model. The record is from RNAcentral.